CCUUCCCCGCAGGCUGCGCAGCACCUUUCCCACCUAGCCAUCACCCCAGUCCUUGAUUUGAGCCCCCACAGUUUAGAGUUUGCUGUAGCUGCUGCACUGAACUAAUACAUUGCUCUUAUUGUUUGAGUUCAGAAUGUCCCCACAGACUCAUGUUCCAAUGUUGGUUCCCUAUCUGGUGGCAGUAUUUUAGGCGGCAAUAGACUCUGUAGGAGGUGGGGCAUAGAAGUAGAUCUGUAAACAGAGGCAGAGAUUCUCUUUUGUCCCAACUGUCAGGUCACAAAUAAACACACAAAAGCUUAUAUUAAUUACAGAAUGCUUGCCCUAUAGCUCAGGCUAAUUACUAACUAGCUCUUAUAACUUAAAUUAACCCAUUUCUAUUAAUCUAUAUUUUGCCACAUGGUUCGUGGCCUUACCUGUUCUCUAGUACUUUUUGUUCCUCUUGCAGCUGACUCACAUCUCCCCUGACUCUGCCCUUUGUCCUCUCUGUAUUUUCAGUUUGGUUUUUCCACCUCGCCUUAUUCUGCCUUGAUAUAGGCCAAAUAGAAUGAUAAGGGAGUUGGCUUUUGAAGGCCAAACCUUGUUCCUGGUUCUGGUGCCUUUCUGUCUUGUGGCAUACAUUCCCACCAGCUCAGAUGAUGCCCUCGCUGUAGCCUUGCCUGUUGGAAGAUUGUGAGCCAAUAUAACAGUGUAAGGCACCUGGCGGUGAUGGCACACACCUUUAGUCCCAGCACUUGGAUGGCAGAGGCAGGCAGAUCUCUGAGUUUGAGGCUAACUUGGUCUACAGAGAGACACAGAGAAAUCCUAUCUUGCAAGAAAAAAAAAAUUAAGCCAGGGUCUCCUUGUAGCCCAGACUGGCCUCAAACUCAUGUCACCAGGUAGCAGAUGACCUUGAGUUUCUGACCUCCUGCUCACACAGGCUAAAUGCUGGGGUUUCAGGUAAGUACAACAUGCAAAUGCAGUGCUGGGGAACCCAGGCCUUGAACAUCCUGGGCAAGCACUUUGCCAACCAAGUCACAUGUCCAGCCUCCAAAAGUAACCCUUGAAGUUGUUUCUCUCAGACAUUCUGUCCCAGCAAUGAGAAGGCGACCAGUAAGGGUUGGCAAGACGGCUCAGCAGAUAAAGGUAUCGGCUGCCAAGCCCCAGAACCUUGAGUUUGAUCCCUGGAUCUCACAUGGUAGAAGGAGAAAACUGACACUGGCAAGCUGUCCUCUGAACACACACACACACACACACGCAUGGUUGCCUGAAUGUAGACACAAAAUAAAUAGGCAUCAUAAUUUUUUGUUGUUGUUGUUUUUUUCGAGACAGGGUUUCUCUGUGGCUUUGGAGCCUGUCCUGGAACUAGCUCUGUAGACCAGGCUGGUCUCGAACUCACAGAAAUCUGCCUGCCUCUGCCUCCCUCCCGAGUGCUGGGAUUAAAGGUGUGCGCCACCAUCGCCUGGCAUGCAUCAUAAUUUUUUUUAAGUGACCAGUACAACCUCCUCCUCCAGCAAGUCCUAGAAAGUCAUAGUGGUCUCGAACUGCCCUCUCAUCCUUCCUCUGCCAUACUCCUCCACCAAACUCUGUCCCCCUAAGCCACCACGAAGGACCCACUUUGCUUAACCAGACAGCAGUUUCUUAACUGACUCUCGUAGAAAUACUGGUAGGAAAGGAGAACGGGCUGUGAGACUCUGAUUUCCGGUUUCUGUUGCUGUGAGCAAGCCCCAUAACCACAGUCACUUGGGGAGGAGAGGGUUUUCGUAUUACAGUUCUCAGCGGUUCAUCACUGAGGGAUGUCAGAGCAGGCACUUGGGGGCAGGAGCUGAUGCAGAGACCAUGGAGGGUGCUGCUUACUGAUUUGUUCCCCGUAACUUCUUUCUCAGUCUGUUUUGAGAGCACCCAGGACCACCAGCACAGGUGUGGCACUGCCCACAGUAAGCGGCGUCUUCCCACGUCAAUCAUCCACCAAGGAAAAGCCCCACAGGCUUUCCCACCAGCAAAUUUGGUGGGGACAUUUUCUCCAUUGGGGCUCCCUCUCUCAAAAUAACUCUGGCUUGUGCCAAGUUGCCAGCACAGUCUCCCAGAGGCCUGUGUGUCAAAGGUCAGACUCUCAGGGUUUACAGAUGGGUCCUCUGCAAGGGACGAGCCAGUUAUCCUGCCUGACCAAGGUCUUAACGGCCACUGGCACCUCUAGGACAAUGUUUGGAUCUUCUCUCAUGAUGAGAAUGGGGUCCCUGUCAUUGACUCACAGCCUGUUUGUGUUGAUGUAUGCUAGCAAGGAGAAGGAACUCUCUAGAAGUUUGGCGGCCCCUAUACAAGCACCUCCCCUUGAGUGUGGUAGAACUCUGUGGUCUGCCAAGAGAGCAUGGCAAAAGUGGUGGGAUGCCACUGCUGGAGGUAGGUUAUAAAAAGAGAUUCUCUCUUCUCUCUCUCUCUCUCUCUCUCUCUCUCUCUCUCUCUCUCUCUCCCCACAAAACACACACACACACACACACACACAUCCUCUCUCAAUCUUGUUCUUUUACUCUUUCUCAGGAUCUCACUACACAGCCCAGGUCAGCCUCAAAAUCAUGGUAAUCCUCCUGCCUCCACUUCCAGAGUACUGAGGUUUUAAUCCAGCACCACCCACACCUGGCUGUAUUUCUGUUUUCAUUGUAAUGUGUCUAUUGGCUAUUUGGACUUUCAUUCAAUUUUUGUUUUAUUUAUUUGUUUUAAAGAUUUAUUUAUUUCAUUAUAUGUGUUGAGUGUUUUGCAUGCAUAUGCACUAGGUGCAUGCCUGGUGCCUGCAGAGGUAAGAAGAGGACAUCAAAUCCUUGGAACCAGAGUUACAGACGAUUGUGAGCUGCUGUGUGGGUGCAGGGAGUUGAACCUGGGUCCACUUCAAGGACAAUAGGAGCUAUUAACUGCUGAGCCAUCUCUCCAGCCCUUGUUUAAUUUUAAAUUCACAAAUGAAAACUACAUGUGUAUUUAUAGUGUGCCCAUGCGGUUUGGGGACAUGUGUGCCCAUGGGGUGUGGGGACAUGUGGACUGUGGACAAUCUAAAUGGAGCUACCCACCAUGCUCUUUCAACUUUGCCUCAGAGCAAAGGCGACUCGAGGGCAAUAGAAACUGCCGUGUGGCAUUUGAGUUUUUCUCUUUUCCAGCCUAGGGACAUGUGGUCCCCUGCUCCUUCUCAGUGCUGUGCGGUGUAGGACGGCAGACACCCCAGGCUGCGGCAGGAGGUGACAAGAGCACAGAUAUCUCCGGGCACUGUGUUGCUAAGCCAGGAUGUUGGGUGGCUAGGUGUAUCAAACACAUCUAGUUAUUGUUCAACUCAGGGCUGGGAAGGCAUUCAUAAAGCGCUUGUUUUGCAGGUGUGAGGACCCAAGUUUGAUCACUAGAACCCGCAUUAAAAAAAAGUCAGGAGUGUUGGCCUGCUUGGAGCCCUAGUGGGGGAGUGGGGACAGGGGAUCUCUGGGGCUGACCAGCAGCUAGUCUCCGGAAUUGGAAGUGGUGAACUCCAGGAGCAGUGAAGAACCCAGAGAGUCAGAAGAGAGAACCGGAUCCCUUGGAGCUUGAAUUACGUUGUAAUCUGUCCAACUUGGGUACUAGAAACUGAACUUUGGCCUUCCAGAAGUGCACCUAACUGCUGAGCCAUCUUCCCUGCCUCAAGACUGCCAUUUUCUAAUCAUAAAAUCAAUCCCAGCACACAGUAGGUCCUCAUUAUUGCGUAGUGAAUUAAGAUUUUCGAUGAGGUGACCUUUAGACCCUGCGUGCAGGUCCCUGUCUGCUCAACCUGAGCUACAGUCACCAUGCACACGGCCAGCACUCUUUGAGCAAUUGCUGAAUGCACAGGUCAUGUGAUCACAGGACAGAUGUUCCCAUUUUGUCUUCAGAAGAACUGCUGCCACCGUCCUGUUUACAGUCAGAAGGGCACAGGUACACAGCGGCAAAGCCAUGAGGUUUUUUGUGUGUGGGGCAGAGUUGUGUAGGCACAUCCAUGUGUGUUCCUGUCUGUGGAGGUCAGAAGCCCAUCUCAUAUGACAUUCUUUUUGUUCGUUUGGUUUUUUUAGAGAUAGGAUCUCUCUAAGUAGCUCUGGUUGUCCUGGAAUUCACUAUGUAGACUAGGUUGGCCUCGAACUCAGAGAGAUCUACUUGCCUCUGCCUCCCAGUACUAACAUUAAAGAUUAAAGGUGUACACAACCAUACAAGCAUGCCUGAUUUAGACAUCAUUUUUUUGUUUGUUUGGUUUUUUUUUCCCCCUUGUAUCCCUGAUUGUCCCAGGCUGGACUCAGAUUCACAAGUGCUGCCUCCCAAGUGCUGGGAUUAAAGGUGUGCACCACCGCCUGCUAGGUGUCAUUUUUACGUGCGUCUGUUUGCAUGUCGUGUGUGGAUGCAUAAAUGCCAAGGCAUAUGUAUGGAGUUCAGAGGAAUUGUUAGAGUGGGUUCUCUCCUUCCAUCAUGUGAGGUCCAGGAAUUAAACUCAGGUCAUCAGGAUUGGCAGGAAGCGCCUUUACCCCCCCCCCCCCCAGCCAUCUUGAUACCCUUAAUUUCUUUCUUUCUCUCACUGGCCUGCGUCUCUUUGAUUAGGCUGGUCAGUGAGCUCCAGCAAUCAGCCUGCCUCUGCCUCCCCGGCAACACUGCUUGCCAUUAUGCCUAUUUUUAAAUAUGGUUCUGGGGACUGAACUCAGGCCCUCUGACUUGCACAGCAGGCACUUAACAAUAGAACCAUCGCUCCAACCCCCACGUCACAAGUGUCCUAAAAGUGCAAAUCCCAGCCAGGACUGUCACCCAAGUGCUGGUGUCUCCAGUGAAACUCGGCUCCUGCGAGAGAGGGAUGUGAUAACACACAUCUGUUUGUAAUCCCGGCACUCAGGAGGUAGAGGCAGGAGGAUCAGGAGUUCGGGGCCAGUCCUAGCCAAAUCACGAUGAUGACGAUGCAAAAAGGAAUUCAGCUUGUGUGUCCAGUGGCUCAUUUUCUUGUGGCACAAUGAACCCUGUCCCCUCUCCCUUCCUCCUUCCAUUAAAGUGAGAUCAAGAAUUGUCUUAAUGGCCAGGCAGUGGUGGUGCACGCUUUUAAUCCCAGCACUUGGGAGGCAGAGGUUGGUAGAUCUCUGUGAGUUCAAAGCCAGCCUGGUCUACAAAGUUAGUUCCAGGACAGCUAGGGCUACACAGAGAAAUCCUAUAUCAGAAAACAAAAACAAAAGCAAACAAAGAGCUGGCAUAAUGAGCAUGAGCCAGCAGGCCCAACUGAGCAGGGCCAGCUCUGCCUCAGAGAGAGUGAAGUCCAGGUGGAUGUCUUCAGGACACACAGAGAGAUGGUUUCAUGGAUGGAGGAGGGUCCUGAGAUAUCUCUGUAGCCUGUGCCCAGAGAGGGCACUGAACCCUGACAAACACAUGGUCACAGGUGCCAAGUCUGCAAGACAAUGGAGUCUGUGUACUGCAGACCGCAUGUCUACCCUGAUCUGCAUCCCCCCCGAGGCUGUGGGAGGACAGCGGCACAGGUAAGUCAUCUUGACCUCCUGCUCUGGAGGUCAGAGGCCACAGUAGAGACAUUGGGCUGAGCCAGACUCUCUCUGAAACCCAAGCCUUUUGUGUCUCCUGCUGACGUCUGGUUCAUACCAAAUGCUACUGGUCCCUGGCUAGGAUAUACUCUUGUAAGAUGUCCCUGAGGUGGAACUGUCCUAUCCUCUCCCACCCUGUGUCUCAGAGUCUUCUUUGUUUUUGCACUCUCCAGGACUUCUUUGUUGCAAGGCUUGUGCUUUACUACUGAGCACACCAGCCCCUCAGCACUGGUGGAUCCUAGGCAUGGAUUCCAGGAAGGCACUUCUGAGACCCAUUCAAACGGGUCUCACUCUGAAGCCCAAGCUGGCCUGGAACUCUUGCCUCAGGCACGUCCCAUUACGAUGAGUCACUUGACAGAGAGGGAAACUGAGGCUCUGACCUGCCUGAGCUCCUCCACCCCCAAUCCGUGGCUCUUGGAAGUGAACCCUGGCAAUUUGAAGCAGCUGCUGCAGACUGGGAGGCUCCGGGCGUUGGCCAGAAGAGGGCACCAGACCUCAUUACAGAUGGUUGUGAGCUACCACGUGGUGGCUGGGAAUUGAACUCAGGACCUUUGGAAGAGCAGGUAAUGCUCUUAACCUCUGAGCCAUCUCUCCAGCCCAGCUAAACUUUUCGUACACUGUGAAGGUAUGUUUCUUCCAAGGUAUGUUGUAGGAAACAUGCACACUGUGUGAAGAUGAACUGCUGUGAUUGGUGUAAUAAAAAGUUGAAUGGCCAAUAGCUAGGCGGGAGGUAUGGGCAGGUCUUCCAGGCGGAGAGAGAACUCUGGGAACAAAAAGGUGGAGUUGCCAGCCAGGCACCUAGGAAGUAGCAUGGGCAGUAUGAAGAGAUGAGGUAACGAGCCACACGAUGGAAUGUAGACUAAAAUAAACAGGUUAAUUUACGUUAUAAGAGCUAGUUGGGAACAGACCUAAGUUAAGGCCAAGCUUUCACGGUUAAUAAGAAAUCUCCAUAUCAUUUUGUGCGAGCUGGCUGUUCACAGACGUCUGACUACAGGAACUACGACAAACCCAGCCUGUCAUGCUGAGUGUGGUAGGCCCUGUCCUCAUUUCUAGCUCCAGUUUUUCUCUUUUUAAAAAACAGUUAAUGUAAUGAGUGUUUUACCUGUGCAUGCUUGGUGCCUGAGGGAGCCAGAAAAGGGCAGUGGAUCCCUGAGCCUGGAGUUCUAGACGGUUGUGAGCUGCCGUAUGGGUAGUGGGAACCAAACCAAGGUCUUCUAGAAGAGCAACUUAACUGCUGAGCCACCCUCAGAUUUUAUUUUUCUAAAAAAUGUAUACUAUUACUACUACUACUACUACUAUUAUUAUUAUUAUUGAGGCAGGGUUUUACUGUGUAGCCUGGCUGUCCCAGAACUUGCUUUGUAGACCAGGCUGGCAUUGAUCUCACAGAGAUCCACCUGUCUCUGCCUCCCUAGUGCUGGGAUUAAAAGUGUGUGCCACCACCUGUUUUUUUAUUAUAAUGUGUAUGUGUGGACGUGUGGACGAGGGCUGGUGCCUCUGGAAGAGCUGUACACACUCUUAAUCACUGAGCUGUCUCUCCAGCACCCAUUGUUUUUAUAUUUUUAUUUUAUUUUUCAUUUUUCAAGACAGGGUUUCUGUGUAGCCCAGGUUGUCCUGAGUUCAGGACCAGGCUAACCUUGGUCUCAAAGAUCUGCCUGCCUCUGCUUCCUUAGUGCUGGGAUUAAAGCAUGCAGGCAUACAGCGCCACCCUGGCCCGUUAUUUUUACUUUUAAUUAUGUGUAUAUGUGUGUGGGCGUGUACACAUAAACAUAGAGCCUGCAAAGGCCAAAGGAGGGCUUUGGAUCUCCUGGAGUCACAGGCCCACGUGAGCUGCUGUGGGGGUGCUGGGAACCAGAUUCAGGUUCUGUAGCAAGAGUAUGUGCUCUUAAGCAACAAGCCAUCCCUCUCCAGCCUGGAUCAACGUUUCUGUAUGUUCUUCCCUGGCCCCCUCUUCUCCUGGAGGCACAGCGUCUUAGAUACCUUUCUAUUGCUGUGCUAAGAUACCACGAACAAGGCAGCUUCUAGAAGAAAGUACUUAACUUAGGGCUUACCGUUUCAGAGGGUUCCAGUCCAUGGCCAUCACGGUGGGGAGCAAUGCAGUGGGCAGGCAGGCAUGGCGGUGGAGCAGUAGCUGAGAGCUUACAUCUUGAGACACAAGCCAAAAACCAGAGAGGUAAAUGGGAAUGGUAAAGGCUUUUGAAACCUCCUCCAACAAGGCCACAUCUCUUGAUCUUUUCCAAGCAGUUCCACCGAAUGGAGAACAAGAUGAGCUUUUGGGGCCAUCCUCACCGAAACCACACACGUGCUAUGGAACAGUGGAUAGAAAGAACAUGUGGCGUCAGCAGGAACACACGCUCCUGGGCCUGGCAGCUUCACUGUGUGUCUCUAGCUGCGCCCUAACCUUUCUGUUUGCGCUCUCACAAAGCUGAGAUGAUAUAUUCCUUCUUUGUAACACUAGUGAGGGUUAAAAGUGGCUUAACACAUGCAAAGGGCUUAAAGCAGCCACAACACAAUUGCUGCUCAAUAAAUCUGUCGUUUGUAUUUCGGAAGCCAUGGCUGUGAGUGUUAGCUUGUCCGUUCUCUCUCCUCUCCCCUCCCCUCUUUUACGUCUGUCUGUAUCUCUCUUUGCACUUGCAUGCGUAUGUGUAAAGGUCAGAGGACAACUUCUGGUAACACUCUGCCAUCUUAUGAUUUGAGACUGGGUCUCUCAUUGUCCCAGAACUCACCAGUUAGGCAAGGCUGACUGACUUAGAGAUGCACCUGUAUCAGCUUUCCCUACACUGAGAUUCUAAGUGUGAACCACUGUACCACUGCGCCUGGUUUUGUUAUGUGAGUUCUGGAGACGGAACUCAGAUUAGCCUGGGCUAUACAUGUGCAUUUACAUGUGCACACUGCACACCACACACACAUGCGCGCGCACACAUACACACACACACACAGUAAUUUUAAAGGGAACAACAGCCCCCUCUUCUUCCUCUUCUAUUUUGAGGCUGGCCCUCCCUUUGUAACUCAGGCUGGCUUUAAACUCAAGAUCCUGCUGAGCCCCGUCGUGCAGGAUUCCAAGCCUGUGCCACUAUAUUCCUUUAUCUUUCAUUUGCUUCUUUGUUUUGAGGUGAGCUCUCAGGUGGCCCAGACCAGCCUCUAACUUAGCUGAAGACGACUUUGACCUCCAGGUGUCCGGCCUUCCCUUCCUGAGUGCUGGGAUGAUAGGCGUGCCUCACCACAUCUGGCUUUAUGUGGACUGAAGGUAGAAUUCAGGACUUUGUACAUGCUAGACAAGGGCUACAGCCCCAUUCCCUGUCCUGACGUGGGAAGUCCUUCUGGAUAUGUGUUGCUUUUAUUGGUUGAUGAAUAAAGCUGUUUUGGGCAAUGGCUUAGUAGAGUAAAGCCAGGGAGGAAAUCCAAACAGAGAUAUAGAAGGAAAGUAGGUGGAGUCAAGGAAGCUGCCAAAGGAGAAAGAUGCUAAACCUUACUGGUGAGCCACAGCCUCGUGGCGAUACACAGAUGAAUAGAAAUGGGUUAAGAUAUAAGGGCUAACUAGGAAUAUGCCUGAACUCUUGGCCAAACAAUGUUGUAAUUAAUAUAAUUUUUCCAGCCUGUGGAGAUGGCGUAGUGGUUUAGAGACUGGCUGCUCCUCCAUCCACAGGACCCAGGUUCCAUUCCCAGCACCCGCAGGACAGCUCACAGUCAUUUGUAACUCCAGUUCCAGAGGAUCUGACAUCCACUUCUGGUCUCUGUGGACACGAGGCACGCAUGUGGUGGUAGAUAUAUGUGCAGACAAAACAUCCACACACAGACAUAGCCUGGAUGACCUUUAACAUCUGAUGCUCCUGCCUCCUUCCAGUACACCUGGUUUAUUCUCUGCUAGGAAUGGAGCCCAGGGCUUUGCACAUGUUAGGAAAGGACUCUGUAGUGAUUCCCCUGUAGGCUUUACAGCAGGCAGGGGAGAAAAGGAUCCACAGAGAGAUAGGACCAAAGCUGGACCAGGACUUCUAGAGUCUGGCCCAGAUAAUUUUACUGCAACCAUAUUUAAUCACAGCACAAUUUAGGGAAACCGUGUUGUGCCUAGAUUACAACCCCCAGAGAGACCACCAAAAACCAGAGAAGUCCAGACUGCAACUGCAAGGUUUAUUGUUAAUUGUUAGGGUAAUGUGAGCUAGCACGGAACUUGUCUCCUGCACUCCUAGCUGCGAGGCAGGGAGGAGUUAGAGUUCUUCUGUGGGGUUAGCUUUUUUAAAAACAAAAACUACAAGCCCUUACAGCGGUCAGGAGUUUUGGCGCAAUUUUUAUUUCUACUUCUUGAAGGUCUUUGCUUUUUCUCAUCCUGAUUUGUUUUGUCUUUAGAGUCAGGUUACGCUGUUCCUGAGUUGGGGCAUCUUGUGGUUUAUCAGUCACCACCAGAUGGUCAGGCGUCCUGAAUCUUGUGCUUUAGACUUUCCCGAGAAGGAGGGGGGGGGCACCAUCAGCUCUGGGAACAUGAAGCUAGUCUGGGGGUUUUGAUUUUAAAACACUCUGCCAGGAAAUUCCUUUGAGAGUAAGGGGUGAGGGUCUUACAAAAGUAUUCAGAUAACAAUUAACUCAGUCCCAAGUGUACAGAAUUUUUUUUUUCGAGUCAGGGUUUCUCAGUACCUUAUGGAGCCAGUCAUGGAACUCACUCUGUAGACCAGACUGGCUUCGAACUCACAAAGAUCUGCCUGCCUCUGCCUCCCAAGUGCUGGGAUUAAAGGUGUGCGCCACCAUCGCCUGGCAUGCAUCAUAAUUUUUUUUAAGUGACCAGUACAACCUCCUCCUCCAGCAAGUCCUAGAAAGUCAUAGUGGUCUCGAACUGCCCUCUCAUCCUUCCUCUGCCAUACUCCUCCACCAAACUCUGUCCCCCUAAGCCACCACGAAGGACCCACUUUGCUUAACCAGACAGCAGUUUCUUAACUGACUCUCGUAGAAAUACUGGUAGGAAAGGAGAACGGGCUGUGAGACUCUGAUUUCCGGUUUCUGUUGCUGUGAGCAAGCCCCAUAACCACAGUCACUUGGGGAGGAGAGGGUUUUCGUAUUACAGUUCUCAGCGGUUCAUCACUGAGGGAUGUCAGAGCAGGCACUUGGGGGCAGGAGCUGAUGCAGAGACCAUGGAGGGUGCUGCUUACUGAUUUGUUCCCCGUAACUUCUUUCUCAGUCUGUUUUGAGAGCACCCAGGACCACCAGCACAGGUGUGGCACUGCCCACAGUAAGCGGCGUCUUCCCACGUCAAUCAUCCACCAAGGAAAAGCCCCACAGGCUUUCCCACCAGCAAAUUUGGUGGGGACAUUUUCUCCAUUGGGGCUCCCUCUCUCAAAAUAACUCUGGCUUGUGCCAAGUUGCCAGCACAGUCUCCCAGAGGCCUGUGUGUCAAAGGUCAGACUCUCAGGGUUUACAGAUGGGUCCUCUGCAAGGGACGAGCCAGUUAUCCUGCCUGACCAAGGUCUUAACGGCCACUGGCACCUCUAGGACAAUGUUUGGAUCUUCUCUCAUGAUGAGAAUGGGGUCCCUGUCAUUGACUCACAGCCUGUUUGUGUUGAUGUAUGCUAGCAAGGAGAAGGAACUCUCUAGAAGUUUGGCGGCCCCUAUACAAGCACCUCCCCUUGAGUGUGGUAGAACUCUGUGGUCUGCCAAGAGAGCAUGGCAAAAGUGGUGGGAUGCCACUGCUGGAGGUAGGUUAUAAAAAGAGAUUCUCUCUUCUCUCUCUCUCUCUCUCUCUCUCUCUCUCUCUCUCUCUCUCUCCCCACAAAACACACACACACACACACACACACAUCCUCUCUCAAUCUUGUUCUUUUACUCUUUCUCAGGAUCUCACUACACAGCCCAGGUCAGCCUCAAAAUCAUGGUAAUCCUCCUGCCUCCACUUCCAGAGUACUGAGGUUUUAAUCCAGCACCACCCACACCUGGCUGUAUUUCUGUUUUCAUUGUAAUGUGUCUAUUGGCUAUUUGGACUUUCAUUCAAUUUUUGUUUUAUUUAUUUGUUUUAAAGAUUUAUUUAUUUCAUUAUAUGUGUUGAGUGUUUUGCAUGCAUAUGCACUAGGUGCAUGCCUGGUGCCUGCAGAGGUAAGAAGAGGACAUCAAAUCCUUGGAACCAGAGUUACAGACGAUUGUGAGCUGCUGUGUGGGUGCAGGGAGUUGAACCUGGGUCCACUUCAAGGACAAUAGGAGCUAUUAACUGCUGAGCCAUCUCUCCAGCCCUUGUUUAAUUUUAAAUUCACAAAUGAAAACUACAUGUGUAUUUAUAGUGUGCCCAUGCGGUUUGGGGACAUGUGUGCCCAUGGGGUGUGGGGACAUGUGGACUGUGGACAAUCUAAAUGGAGCUACCCACCAUGCUCUUUCAACUUUGCCUCAGAGCAAAGGCGACUCGAGGGCAAUAGAAACUGCCGUGUGGCAUUUGAGUUUUUCUCUUUUCCAGCCUAGGGACAUGUGGUCCCCUGCUCCUUCUCAGUGCUGUGCGGUGUAGGACGGCAGACACCCCAGGCUGCGGCAGGAGGUGACAAGAGCACAGAUAUCUCCGGGCACUGUGUUGCUAAGCCAGGAUGUUGGGUGGCUAGGUGUAUCAAACACAUCUAGUUAUUGUUCAACUCAGGGCUGGGAAGGCAUUCAUAAAGCGCUUGUUUUGCAGGUGUGAGGACCCAAGUUUGAUCACUAGAACCCGCAUUAAAAAAAAGUCAGGAGUGUUGGCCUGCUUGGAGCCCUAGUGGGGGAGUGGGGACAGGGGAUCUCUGGGGCUGACCAGCAGCUAGUCUCCGGAAUUGGAAGUGGUGAACUCCAGGAGCAGUGAAGAACCCAGAGAGUCAGAAGAGAGAACCGGAUCCCUUGGAGCUUGAAUUACGUUGUAAUCUGUCCAACUUGGGUACUAGAAACUGAACUUUGGCCUUCCAGAAGUGCACCUAACUGCUGAGCCAUCUUCCCUGCCUCAAGACUGCCAUUUUCUAAUCAUAAAAUCAAUCCCAGCACACAGUAGGUCCUCAUUAUUGCGUAGUGAAUUAAGAUUUUCGAUGAGGUGACCUUUAGACCCUGCGUGCAGGUCCCUGUCUGCUCAACCUGAGCUACAGUCACCAUGCACACGGCCAGCACUCUUUGAGCAAUUGCUGAAUGCACAGGUCAUGUGAUCACAGGACAGAUGUUCCCAUUUUGUCUUCAGAAGAACUGCUGCCACCGUCCUGUUUACAGUCAGAAGGGCACAGGUACACAGCGGCAAAGCCAUGAGGUUUUUUGUGUGUGGGGCAGAGUUGUGUAGGCACAUCCAUGUGUGUUCCUGUCUGUGGAGGUCAGAAGCCCAUCUCAUAUGACAUUCUUUUUGUUCGUUUGGUUUUUUUAGAGAUAGGAUCUCUCUAAGUAGCUCUGGUUGUCCUGGAAUUCACUAUGUAGACUAGGUUGGCCUCGAACUCAGAGAGAUCUACUUGCCUCUGCCUCCCAGUACUAACAUUAAAGAUUAAAGGUGUGCACCACCGCCUGCUAGGUGUCAUUUUUACGUGCGUCUGUUUGCAUGUCGUGUGUGGAUGCAUAAAUGCCAAGGCAUAUGUAUGGAGUUCAGAGGAAUUGUUAGAGUGGGUUCUCUCCUUCCAUCAUGUGAGGUCCAGGAAUUAAACUCAGGUCAUCAGGAUUGGCAGGAAGCGCCUUUACCCCCCCCCCCCCCAGCCAUCUUGAUACCCUUAAUUUCUUUCUUUCUCUCACUGGCCUGCGUCUCUUUGAUUAGGCUGGUCAGUGAGCUCCA
This is a long non-coding RNA of Alexandromys fortis (reed vole), 13251 nucleotides long. RefSeq lists it as uncharacterized. The transcript is spliced from 4 exons. The record is from RefSeq and is a predicted model, not a curated record. Lineage: Eukaryota; Metazoa; Chordata; Mammalia; Rodentia; Cricetidae.